GGCCCGGUCCAAACGCAACAACAGGAAUAGCACGCUCAUCGCGCCGGCGCGCCUCCGCCGCGCGAUUCACCGGCGGCGUCGGCGGCUGCUCCGCCUUCCACCCUCGGGCCCGCGCCACCGAUGUGGAAGCGCCUCCUGGAGACGACCAAGAAGGUGGUCUCGGCCGUGCCCAAGUUAGCCCCCGCGGCGCCGAAGCUGGCCACACGGAAGCGCCCCUCGUGCACCCGCCGCUCCGACGUCUCUCCGGCCACCAAGGUCACCCCCGAAGCCCUCCUCCGCCUCGAGCAGGCCACCGUAUCCAAGAAGACCACCUUACCCUCCGCCCUCCCCCACGCCCUCGCCAACGAUGGGGAGGACGAGGACAACUCGCGCGAUUUCACCACGGAGAUUCUGUCCAUCUUAAACGGGCCAGAAGACACGGAAGAGUCGGGGGACACGGAGGGGGCGCCAGAGGAGUCUGAAGACGCCGAGGAUGUUAUCAGCAACAAGAUACUGGAGAUGGAGUGGUUUGAGGGGUCACAGCCGAGUAACACUACGACGCAAUAUCGGAAGGAGGUUGCGAGGGAGAAGAAGAAGCGCUACAUCUUCAAGAACACUGAGACCCGCCGCUUCACGAGGCUGAUGCGCAUGUGUGCCGACAAGCUUGGCACGGAGUCUGCGCUCGAGUUCUUCGGGAGGCUGGGUAGGGAAACCGGGAUCAAGGAGUUCAAUGCAUUGAUUAGGGUGUGCUUGGACAAGGCGAGGGAUUGCGAGGAUAUUGACUCAGCGGUGGAACAUAUUUUCCGCGCAUAUCGCCUUUUUGAGUUGAUGAAAGAUAGGGGGUUUCAGAUUGAGGAAGAUAGUUAUGGGCCAUUCUUGUUGUAUCUGGUGGAUGUGGAGUUGUUGGAGGAAUUUGAGAUGUUCAGUGCAUUUUUUAAGGAUGCGAAUCCACGGUCCUACUCCAGGAUAGCUUAUUAUGAGAUGUUGCUUUUGAUUAGAGCUCAGGAUGAAGAAAGCAUUCAGGAACUUUGUCGCUCUGUUGAAGACUGCAAUGAGGAAGCUCAUUAUGGCAUUGCAGAAAGCUAUAUGCUCGCCUUUGCUGAAAGCAACAGAAGGGUGGACUUUGUCAGGUUCUUGGAGUUACUUGACCAAAGAAAACUUUCAGGCUCAAAGUACAUAUCUAGUAUAUUCAAGUAUAUGGGUAGGUUCGAACUGGAGAACUAUGCUGACAAACUUCUUCAGGAAAUGACGUCAAAAGAGUGUGCUGAUGGAAAAGUUUCAUCCUUAACUUUUGACUAUGCUGCAAAUGUACCAAAUAUAGCGGCUGAAGAUGUGAUAUCAACAUUUAACAAAUGGCAAGAGAAGUAUGAGCUAGCACCUUCUGUUGGUGCAUAUGACAGGAUCAUUUCCUUCUGUUGCAGUUCAUCAAAGAUUAGCUUAGCUCUUGACGUGGCUGAGUGCCUUUGUAAAUCCAAUCCCAGUGUGCCCAUUGAAUUGCUUAAUCCAAUAAUACAAGCCUGUGAGGAAAGCUUUGAGCUUCAUUUGGCUCGGUCCUUAUAUGAUCUGAUGAGUCGCCACAAGUUGAAAUUGAAAAACGAAACAUUCAGGAGCAUGAUAAGUUUACGUGUAAAGAUGAAAGAUUUUCAAGGUGCUUACGAUAUACUCACAGAUGCAGAAGAAUCUGGGGAGACAUCUACCGUAACCCUGUAUAACAUUAUUAUGGCUGGAUAUUUUAGGGAGAAAAAUCACAAUGGAGCACAAAGGGUCAUUGCACAAAUGCAGAGUGCUGGAGUAAAACCAGACUCUGAAACAUUCAGUUAUUUGAUUUUGAACUGCGAUUCUGAAGAGAAAGUAUCAAAGUAUCUUGAUGAACUACGACAAGAUGGUAUUCAAAUGACCAAGCAUGCAUAUAUGGCACUCGUUAAUGCAUAUUCAAGACUUGGGAAUUUUGACAUGGCCAAACAGGUUGUCCUGGAUAACGAGAUAUCACCUAAGUACCUCAGUGAAGUGAAAAGCGCGCUUGUAGGUGCGCUUGCAUCAAAUGGGAAGGUAUCAGAUGGACUUAACAUAUUUGAUGAAAUUAAGCAAUCCGGAGGCUGCCUCGAACCAAAGGCUGCAGUAGCCCUGAUUGAGCAUACUCAAACAGAAGGGGAGUUAGAUAGACUGUAUCAACUUCUGGAGGAGCUGAGCGAGCCAAACAUGUGGUUUGAUGGGUGCAGCAGAGUGCUUCAAUACUGUGUUCAGCACAAUCACUCUGAUGCCGCUGUUGAUUUACUUAGGCAGCUCAAGGAAAGAAGUGAAAUGAGUACGUACAUGGUUGUUGAUCAGGUCUUUUGCCAAAUAUGGGAAAUGGAGCCUGUAAAUUUGGAUCUUGGAAUGGAGCUUCUCCGUGCUGUCAAAGAACUCGGGCUUAAUGUUUCUCGGACAAGCCUUGAUUUUCUUCUCAGCACUUGUGUAAAGGCAAAGGAUUCAGAACAUGCUCAGCAGAUCUGGACAGAAUACGAAUCUUCUGGCCUUCCACACAACGUGCUGACUUCCUUGAGGAUGUACCAGGCUCUUCUUUCAUCCGGGCAACGGCAGGCUGCUCGGAAGUUAUUGAACACAGUACCAAAGGAUGAUCCUCAUGUACGUUUCAUAGUACAUUCUUGCAGAACGACAUAUAAACAGGGCCGUAAAAAAUCUUCUAGGAAGACGGGAGAUAGAAUAUGAUGAGACCAAAGCACCAGUGGCGAAGAUGGACUCGGUGAGAACCUUAAUCACUGUCAAUUGGGCCUAGUCCAGGAAAAAAGCUGCUGCUAAGGAGAAGAGGAGACACGAGGUUCUUCUUUUGCCAUGAUACCCCUGUAUCCAACUUGCACCUGCUUAGAUGUAUUCCCCACAAACACACAACCAAGUUGAUGAUCAGGUGUGGGGUGGAGGAAGGGGGGUCUGGAUCAAACAAGGGGCUUGGAAAAAUGGUUUUGGAGACGUCUCAAAAUUUGGUCCCCUGCUGCCCCUACCUGGUUUUUCUUUCGCCUUUUCCUUGAGUACUUGUACUUUCAAAAUCUUUUCUAUUACCAGUUUUGAGACCAGGAACAGACGGAUUAUGUGGUGGGGGUAGCAACUUUACCAUGUGUCAUUUGAAACCUAUGAUUUCCCCCGGAAUCAUGAACCGUUUUCGGUAAAUUCAUGUAAACUACAGUGAAAUUCACGUGUUCCGAACAAAACGACAGUCCGUCGUACUUCA
RNA transcript from Lolium perenne, 3205 nucleotides. It is a transcript of the gene named pentatricopeptide repeat-containing protein At4g04790, mitochondrial, with no coding region annotated. The record is from RefSeq and is a predicted model, not a curated record. NCBI's taxonomy places the organism in Eukaryota, Viridiplantae, Streptophyta, Magnoliopsida, Poales, Poaceae.